RNAcentral lists this ribosomal RNA (327 nucleotides) under uncultured eukaryote. RNAcentral describes it as "partial 18S ribosomal RNA". It matches the Rfam family "Eukaryotic small subunit ribosomal RNA", at positions 1470 to 1796 of the family's 1831-position model. The record is from RNAcentral.
CCCUUAGAUGUCCGGGGCCGCACGCGCGCUACAAUGGAUGAAUCAACGCGUCAUCCUGGCCCGAAAGGGUUGGGGAACCGCUGAACCUCAUCCGUGGUUGGGAUUGGGGUUUGUAAUUAUUCCCCAUGAACUAGGAAUUUCCAGUAAGCGCGAGUCAUAAGCUCGCGUUGAUUACGUCCCUGCCCUUUGUACACACCGCCCGUCGCUACUACCGAUUGGAUGGUUUAGUGAGAUCCUCGGAUUGGUCACGGCACGGUGGCAACACUGCGUCGGUGUGCCGAGAAGACGAUCAAACUUGAUCAUCUAGAGGAAGUAAAAGUCGUAACA